This 1000-nucleotide ribosomal RNA is filed under the name uncultured bacterium. RNAcentral describes it as "bacterial SSU rRNA". It matches the Rfam family "Bacterial small subunit ribosomal RNA", at positions 32 to 1036 of the family's 1533-position model. The record is from RNAcentral.
AGGGAUGGCGGCAGCUUACCAUGCAGUCGAACGAUGAUUAUCUAGCUUGCUAGAUAUGAUUAGUGGCGGACGGGUGAGAAACAUUUAGGAAUCUGCCUAGUAGUGGGGGAUAGCUCGGGGAAACUCGAAUUAAUACCGCAUACGACCUACGGGUGAAAGGGGGCGCAAGCUCUUGCUAUUAGAUGAGCCUAAAUCAGAUUAGCUAGUUGGUGGGGUAAAGGCCCACCAAGGCGACGAUCUGUAACUGGUCUGAGAGGAUGAUCAGUCACACCGGAACUGAGACACGGUCCGGACUCCUACGGGAGGCAGCAGUGGGGAAUAUUGGACAAUGGGGGCAACCCUGAUCCAGCCAUGCCGCGUGUGUGAAGAAGGCCUUUUGGUUGUAAAGCACUUUAAGCAGGGAGGAGAGGCUAAUGGUUAAUACCCAUUAGAUUAGACGUUACCUGCAGAAUAAGCACCGGCUAACUCUGUGCCAGCAGCCGCGGUAAUACAGAGGGUGCGAGCGUUAAUCGGAAUUACUGGGCGUAAAGCGAGUGUAGGUGGCUCAUUAAGUCACAUGUGAAAUCCCCGGGCUUAACCUGGGAACUGCAUGUGAUACUGGUGGUGCUAGAAUAUGUGAGAGGGAAGUAGAAUUCCAGGUGUAGCGGUGAAAUGCGUAGAGAUCUGGAGGAAUACCGAUGGCGAAGGCAGCUUCCUGGCAUAAUAUUGACACUGAGAUUCGAAAGCGUGGGUAGCAAACAGGAUUAGAUACCCUGGUAGUCCACGCCGUAAACGAUGUCUACUAGCCGUUGGGGUCCUUGAGACUUUAGUGGCGCAGUUAACGCGAUAAGUAGACCGCCUGGGGAGUACGGCCGCAAGGUUAAAACUCAAAUGAAUUGACGGGGGCCCGCACAAGCGGUGGAGCAUGUGGUUUAAUUCGAUGCACGCGAAGAACCUUACCUGGUCUUGACAUAGUGAGAAUCUGCAGAGAUGCGGGGAGUGCCUUCGGGAUUCACAUAAC